GCCUGCCCAGUGACCCUGUUUAACGGCCGCGGUAUCCUAACCGUGCGAAGGUAGCGUAAUCACUUGUUCUCUAAAUGCGGACUAGUAUGAACGGCAUCACGAGGGUUAUACUGUCUCCCUUUUCUAAUCAGUGAAACUAAUCCCCCCGUGAAGAGGCGGGGAUAAAACUAUAAGACGAGAAGACCCUAUGGAGCUUUAAACAAUGUAGCACUUGCCUUUUGACAUAAAAUUUCCGAAUCUCACUCCAAAGCGAUAUGACUAUAAGUUUUUGGUUGGGGUGACCACGGAGCAAAAUUUAACCUCCAUGUUGAAAGAAUUUAAGCUAAGAAUCACUCUUCUAAGCAUCAACAUAUUGACAUCAAUUGACCCAAUACAUUUGAACAACGAACCAAGUUACCCUAGGGAUAACAGCGCA
This 415-nucleotide ribosomal RNA is filed under the name Nectophrynoides pseudotornieri (pseudo forest toad). Its description in RNAcentral is "partial 16S ribosomal RNA". It matches the Rfam family "Bacterial large subunit ribosomal RNA", at positions 1857 to 2484 of the family's 2925-position model. Lineage: Eukaryota; Metazoa; Chordata; Amphibia; Anura; Bufonidae. The record is from RNAcentral.